AGUGAACGCUGGCGGUAGGCCUAACACAUGCAAGUCGAACGGCAGCACAGUAAGAGCUUGCUCUUACGGGUGGCGAGUGGCGGACGGGUGAGGAAUACAUCGGAAUCUACUUUUUCGUGGGGGAUAACGUAGGGAAACUUACGCUAAUACCGCAUACGACCUACGGGUGAAAGCAGGGGAUCUUCGGACCUUGCGCGAUUGAAUGAGCCGAUGUCGGAUUAGCUAGUUGGCGGGGUAAAGGCCCACCAAGGCGACGAUCCGUAGCUGGUCUGAGAGGAUGAUCAGCCACACUGGAACUGGGACACGGUCCAGACUCCUACGGGAGGCAGCAGUGGGGAAUAUUGGACAAAGGGCGCAAGCCUGAUCCAGCCAUACCGCGUGGGUGAAGAAGGCCUUCGGGUUGUAAAGCCCUUUUGUUGGGAAAGAAAAGCAGCAGGUUAAUACCCCGCUGUUCUGACAGUACCCAAAGAAUAAGCACCGGCUAACUUCGUG
RNAcentral lists this ribosomal RNA (492 nucleotides) under uncultured bacterium. RNAcentral describes it as "partial 16S ribosomal RNA". It matches the Rfam family "Bacterial small subunit ribosomal RNA", at positions 29 to 507 of the family's 1533-position model. The record is from RNAcentral.